RNAcentral lists this long non-coding RNA (442 nucleotides) under Arachis ipaensis. Its description in RNAcentral is "long non-coding RNA (AIPA_LNC001354)". Lineage: Eukaryota; Viridiplantae; Streptophyta; Magnoliopsida; Fabales; Fabaceae. The record is from RNAcentral.
UCCAUUUCCCUGAGUCCAACAUCAUCAAAUGGAUUAUCACUAUCAGCAAUAUCCUUUUCACCAACUGAACCAUCACCAGUAGGGUCACCCUCCAAGCCCAAAUUCUCCCCCUCUCUCUCAUCAAAUCCAAGUUGUUCAUUGUUGUAGAAGCUAUAAGCACCGCCCCUUGAGCCUCUUCCAUGGACUAUUGGACCCAUUGAAGAAGCAACUACAACAAGGGUGGCAGUGGUUUUUGAGCAUUCUUAAGAGAAAGGUACAUGAGAAUUUGGGGUUAGGCAUUGAUUGUUGCUGAGAAAGGGAAUCUAUGAGAUUCUGGGAGUGAGAUUGAAAGCGGGCUUGCGGGAAGAAGCUCAGUCAUGGUGAGUUGUGAAUAGUGAGAGAGUUUGCAACAAAAAGCAAAGAUUUUUUAUGCAUGGAAUUAGAAUAGAGCCCUUUUUUCACA